AGAAUCAUGAACUUGAUCUGGACCUGUGUAGGUUUAAUAGUUCGAUUUCUUUUUAGGAGGUACUUGAAAUGCAAGUAGGUAAAGUAAAAUGGUUUAACGGUGAAAAAGGAUACGGAUUUAUCCAAGGAGAAGACGGCAGCGACGUAUUCGUUCACUUCUCUGCUAUCCAAGGUGAAGGCUUCAAAACUUUAGAAGAAGGUCAAGAAGUUUCUUUCGAAGUUACUGAAGGCGAUCGCGGACCUCAAGCAGCUAACGUUACUAAAAAGUAAUGAAAACGCCAAAAAAGCAUUCCGAUUUCGGAAUGCUUUUUAU
RNAcentral lists this non-coding RNA (312 nucleotides) under Bacillus manliponensis. RNAcentral describes it as "Bacillus sp. BL4-6 cspA thermoregulator". It matches the Rfam family "cspA thermoregulator", at positions 87 to 428 of the family's 428-position model. Lineage: Bacteria; Bacillati; Bacillota; Bacilli; Caryophanales; Bacillaceae. The record is from Rfam by way of RNAcentral.